This 650-nucleotide ribosomal RNA is filed under the name Agaricus subrufescens. RNAcentral describes it as "partial large subunit ribosomal RNA". It matches the Rfam family "Eukaryotic large subunit ribosomal RNA", at positions 29 to 663 of the family's 3401-position model. The record is from RNAcentral. Lineage: Eukaryota; Fungi; Basidiomycota; Agaricomycetes; Agaricales; Agaricaceae.
UGAACUUAAGCAUAUCAAUAAGCGGAGGAAAAGAAACUAACAAGGAUUCCCCUAGUAACUGCGAGUGAAGCGGGAAAAGCUCAAAUUUAAAAUCUGGCGGUCUCUGGCCGUCCGAGUUGUAAUCUAGAGAAGUAAUGCCCGUGCUGGACCGUGUAUAAGUCUCCUGGGAUGGGGCGUCAUAGAGGGUGAGAAUCCCGUCUUUGACACGGACUACCAGUGCAUUGUGGUAUGCUCUCAAAGAGUCGAGUUGUUUGGGAAUGCAGCUCAAAAUGGGUGGUAAAUUCCAUCUAAAGCUAAAUAUUGGCGAGAGACCGAUAGCGAACAAGUACCGUGAGGGAAAGAUGAAAAGAACUUUGGAAAGAGAGUUAAACAGUACGUGAAAUUGCUGAAAGGGAAACGCUUGAAGUCAGUCGCGUUGGCCAGGGAUCAGCCUUGCUUUUGCAUGGUGUACUUUCUGGUUGAUGGGUCAGCAUCAAUUUUGACCGCUGGAAAAAGACCUGGGGAAUGUGGCAGCUUCGGCUGUGUUAUAGCCCCUAGUCGCAUACAGUGGUUGGGAUUGAGGAACUCAGCACGCCGCAAGGCCGGGUUUCGACCACGUUCGUGCUUAGGAUGCUGGCAUAAUGGCUUUAAGCGACCCGUCUUGAAACACG